Molecule: long non-coding RNA, 4680 nt
Organism: Triticum dicoccoides
Lineage: Eukaryota; Viridiplantae; Streptophyta; Magnoliopsida; Poales; Poaceae
Exons: 3
Source: RefSeq, a predicted model, not a curated record
GCAGCCCGCACUCGCAGCCCUGCCUCCCUCCUCGAUCUCUUUCCCUCAGCCGCCACAAACCCUAGGUCCCUUUCCUACGAUCCCAUGGUCGUUUCCCCUGCUCCAUCCGACCUCUGUGGCGGCCGAGGGCCCGAUCCGCGCCGACGCCGUGCCGGCGGCGGCCGGGGCGGGCGCGGAGAGGGCCGAUGCGGCGGCCGCGGGCAGGGCGGCGACGGCCAAGGCCAUGGAGGACGAGGUUGCAUGGCGAGAAGCGGCCGAUCCACCUGCGUGCCGUCACUGCAGGGAUAGCGAAGGUCAGCGACAAAGGUCAUCGUGGGGGCACACCGUCGUCUCCCUCUCCCCUGGUGGCACCUCCCUAUGUGAGCUCCUCCCUAUCUUCCUGCUCCUUCACCUCCUCCUUCUCAUCCCAUGUAUUUUAGAUUUGUUUGUUCAAUUUUACUCCGUAGUGCUUGCACGCCCAUGAAUCUGGAAGUAACCCGCAAAAAAAAGAAUCUGGAAGUAGACAUUUUAGUGUUUUUCCUAUUCCAUUAUCCGCUUUUUUUGUUGCUAAGAGUACAAUUUUUUUGCAUGGGGGAUUAAUUAGGCUGGUUAUAUAGAAUGAUAAUUGCCUCAAAUGAUUCAGAUUAAGAGUUCUGCUCAAGAUAUAUGUGCUAGAGAACUAAUUAUUUUGUACUUGACCGCUCUGCAUAUGUUGAGGUUUGUCCUGGAAUGGUUGGCUUUGGGACUUUUGGUGGCAGUAUAUUCUUAUGCCGACGACAAGCAUUUGCAGGACGAUUAUGUGGUUAUCUGUGGCAGUGUGCUCCUAUCCUCCCCGCCUCCAUACUUCAUUUUUGGAAAACUAAUGAUUUUGAUUCAUGGAUGUCAUAGGUACCAUUGAUUGUGCCUCGGCUUCGUAGCCGAUCUUCGAUCGUCCAUGGCAUCAACACACAAAUUGAUAAUGCAAACCUCAGAUCAAUACCUCCCCUAUUUGAUUUCUGUGGCAGAGUGCUAAUAACUUUUAUUGUUUGUGUUUUUGGAUAAGAUUUGCAUGGUAUUUCUAUCAUUGGUUGAUUGCUUGGAUACUUUCACUAUAGUAGUUAUUCUGCCUCAUCUAUCACUAUCUGCGGGCUUGCUUUGAUUAUGUGUCUCCCAACUUUCUGUAUCUAAAAAGCAGCCUGUAAAUGUAGCUUGAAUAAAAAUGGAAAUUUCAGAUGACAUGUACAUGUAAGGAUUCAGUUUUGUGCUAUCGAUGAUAGUCCUCUACAACUACCAGUGUGUCCUGUUGUUGAAGCUUUUGUUGAUCUGAUGAUGUAGCCUCUAUUUAAUGUUCUAUAGCCUCCUGAUUAGUUAUAUCCUAUCAGUAGCACCAUGCCUCCCUAUCGCGCUAUUUGUCAAAAAACCGGAACAACCAGUAGCGAGGUGCCUCCCUGUAUGUUGUUCAUCGAAAGCUUGUUCAAUUUUACUCCAUAGUGCUUGCACGCCCAUGAAUCUGGAAGUAACCCGCAAAAAAAUCUGGAAGUAGACAUUUUAGUGUUUUUCCUAUUCCAUUAUCUGCUUUUUUUGUUGCUAAGAGUACGAUUUUUUUGCGUGGGGGAUUAAUUAGGCUGGUUAUAUAGAAUGAUAAUUGCCUCAAAUGAUUCAGAUUAAGAGUUCUGCUCAAGAUAUAUGUGCUAGAGAACUAACAAAAGGUGUACAAUAACUUCUAAUUUUAUUCCACUGACGAGAUGUGUCAAAUUUAUUGUACAAUAUGUUCUAAAUUUAUUCCACUGACAAGAUGUGUCAAAUUUAUUCAAUGUUUUUUGUAUUGUGGUUGAUGCAGUCCCAGGACUAACAUUGGAAUAUUCAUGUGUUAUAGGCCAAUAUAGAUUUCUCAAUGUAUCAUUUUGGCACUGUUUGACUGCUGAACAAUAUUGCCAUGCUGAUCAUUUCUCAUGUCUUUGCAAUUUUUGGUCUUUAUUUUGAUUUCGUUGUGUGGUGUGCUUUUAUCUAGGUGAGUUGAGUUGCUGCUUGGUUGGAGAUGUUGAUGUCAUUCGAGACGCCCGCUGGAUUCACCCUUUUCAAGGUUCUAAAUAAGGGCAAGCUCGGCAAGGUCGAGUGGUACAGGUGUGAUCUUCAUGGAGCUAGCCAUCAUUGGAUUUGGUAAUACAUAAUCACUUAUUCAGAGAGCCCAAGGUGAGAAGAGACGAGCAUCUAGAACACCACCACCUACUAAUCAGUGAGCUACUAUCUGUCUUUGAAUGAGUUACUUAACAAGAGAAGGCAGGAGUUUCCUACCUUUCUUCUGCAAAUCUGGAAUGCCUUUAUGGCAUGAUCAUGUGAAAAAAGUACCUUGAUGCAGUAAUGGAUUUGAUUAUCACUGGUUACUCUGUUUUCACGAAUUACUAUCCAACUGUAAGUCUAUUCUAUACCCUAAGGCCCAUGUUAAUCUGAUAGAAGAUUAAGCUAUUUAAUUUUAACUAAAAAGGAUAAUAUUCUUUCAGUUGCUUGAAUCUGUCCAGACCUGAAAAAUACUUAUACUUUGAAAGCUUGAUAUAUGAGUAUGUAAUUUUACAGGUAUGUAAAUAGCCGACAAUGUUAUUGUUCAAAUGUACUCGAGCCAGGUUUUCGGUGUUUCAUUGCAACCAAAAGAAUUGGUAAUAUUGUUUUGAUGAAAACAUGGUCGCACUUGUCAGUGUUGUAUAAUAGGAUUUUUAAUUAGUGGCAUAGGAAAUUUUUCCCUAAGAUCCACUAUGAAGUUGAUUGAAAGUCCAUUUUCCCUAAGAUCCACUAUGACAAUGAAAAAGAUUUCUGAAAACUGUGUCACCAUAAAUGUUCCAUCAUUGUCCAUAGCAGUCCCAUGCCAUAUUAAUUUUAGAAGAAUAAAUUCUUAUUCAGAUGUUCAUUGUGUUUUUAUGUACUGCUAUAUCUAAAAAAGCAAGUUUCAGCUAAAAGCAGAGCCGUGGUUAAGAUACUCUUUGCACCUAGGAUAUGUGAUAUGUUCAGAUUGCUAGCUUUAAACUAUAGUUUUAGAAAAUGUGGUGCCCUCGCUUAUUUUUGUAAUGCAUGAACUUAGGGUAAAUGUUUUAUGUGUAAUGCGUGCUUGAUUUCUUUUUUAUUCUGGUGGAUUUUGAUUUUCUCCACCAUGCUUCUCUCCAAUGGGAUGAGUCUGUUUUCGCAGCAGCGGGUGAUGCAUGUGCUUAUUGUUGGCUGUUGGUAUGUGGUAUGCAUUUUCUCAUUGUUGGCUGUUUGUUGUUUGCUAUGAUUAAGAUACAUUGGCUUGUACAUUUUAUAUCAGUUUCGUUUUCAACACCACCUAUCACUGUAUAAUUUGUCGUUAAUAGAGUAGUUUCUCCUUUAUUGCAUUGCAUAAUGCUAGCAAGCUACAUUGCACCAUAAACAAAAAUAAUCCUCUUCCAAGGUUAAACCUGUUUUUUCCUUCUAGCAAAGAUCUUCUCUGGAAAAGAUCAAUUCUGUUAGCCUAUAAUAUUGCAGUUCUUUCUUAUCCUUCAAAGAUUUAAAAUUAUUUUCUGUUUCCACUCCAUUCGUUCUCAUGGAUUCUGAAAAAAAUAUUUUUGUUUUUUGUUGAUUAAUAAUAUUGAUUUCCGUUUCAGUUUUGUGGUGGUCGAUGCAUGUAGAAUAUACGGACUUUCCUAGAAUGGCGCCUUUUAGUUGUUUUGCUUGAUGUUAGUUCAUUGAUGAGAACACCUAUGUACAUGAUUGUUGCAUGCAUGAUAUCCUACUAUAUACUGAGAAAUAUUUUUCUUUUUCGGACAUUGUUUUCUAAAUCCUAUCAACAUAUUACCUGAUAUGGUCUUUAAAGUUUCUAUUUUAUAGCGAGCUUUGCACUGGUCAACUUGAGUAUGGUAUGGUUAUCUUUUCUUUUGUUUACAGGUGAUGUGUGGUAGAAGCUGUUCUCACAGGAAGACUAUUGUGUUGUGUAUAAACCAUGUUCUACGAUUCACUUCUGUUAUGCAUAUUUACUUUCCAGUUUUAGGACUAAUAUCCAUCCAUUGUAAUGAAUUUGGUUGUAUGGGCAUUACCUAUUUGACUUAGGCUUGCUUCGUCACAUAUAAACUGUUUUUCUUUCCCCCACUGCUUGUAUGACCUAAAACUAUCAUGUAUAUGAGGCAAGUUAUUAGCAAUGUUUCACAUUUUCUUACUUGUGAUACUGUGCUUGCCUAAUCAGGUGUUCCAAGACCCAAAUCAACAGAAAAACAACACAUACAACACUUUUUUAUUUUGAAUUUUGGUUACCCUUAUACAAGCCCCUGUCCAUUUUGUUUAUAUAGUGGUUAGAAUAGUAACCAUAUGUGCUUGCUCAAUACUAAUAAAUGGAAUAUUUUCAAAGCACGUAUGGUGUGGGUCUGUUCGCAAUUUGGCGCAACAGGAGAUUACUGAAAAAUACACAUUUUUUCAACAUGACAUGAUCUUGAAAUGGGACUUUACUACCAAAUUAAAAUAUGUUGGUAUACCUCAUUAUAGAUGACAAGUCUCUUUUUUAUUAAAGGGGGUUAAUUUUUUUAUCAUAUAUGCUUUCCCGCUACUAAAACAACUAAAACGGAAUUUCUUUUCAUGCUGAACAUGGAUUUAGUGGGUCUCUACACCAUUUUGUUACCCAGCUGACGAACUGAGAAAGAAAGGAAGGGGAUAGGCAGUCUUUGCUGGCUCCGCCCUCUGCCGCUUCAUAUUCAGCUCCUCACAGGCCACAGGCAUCGCUCUACG